Molecule: ribosomal RNA, 496 nt
Filed under: Ophiocordyceps sp. 3 MR-2016
Lineage: Eukaryota; Fungi; Ascomycota; Sordariomycetes; Hypocreales; Ophiocordycipitaceae
Description: eukaryotic LSU rRNA
Rfam family: 5.8S ribosomal RNA (bases 147-300)
Source: RNAcentral
UCUUGGUCAUUUAGAGGAAGUAAAAGUCGUAACAAGGUCUCCGUUGGUGAACCAGCGGAGGGAUCAUUAGUGUAUUGAACACUCAUCCUUUGUGAACCUAUUAUUUUAUUCUGUUGAUGUAUUAUGAGAAAACUACAAAUGAUAAAAACUUUCAGCAACGGAUCUCUUGGCUCUAGCAUCGAUGAAGAACGCAGCGAAAUGCGAUAAGUAAUGCGAAUUGCAGAAUUCAGUGAGUCAUCGAAUCUUUGAACGCACAUUGCGCCUGCUGGACAUCCAGCAGGCAUGCCUGUUUGAGCGUUAUUUUCACCAAUCUCUGUAUAGAGGCGCUGGAGAAUGGCGUGCCAUCUCUGAAAAGCAGUGGUAAAAGACAUGGUGUUUUCUCUGUGUAGUAAAGCUCUCACACUGAAGCGCUGUGGCCAUACCAAAACAUGACAAGGUUAACCUCAAAUCAGGUAGGAAUACCCGCUGAACUUAAGCAUAUCAAUAAGCGGAGGAA